This 317-nucleotide small nuclear RNA is filed under the name Peromyscus maniculatus bairdii (prairie deer mouse). RNAcentral describes it as "7SK RNA (ENSPEMG00000002684.2)". It matches the Rfam family "7SK RNA", at positions 1 to 265 of the family's 331-position model. Rfam says of the family: 7SK was discovered as an abundant small nuclear RNA in the mid-70s but a possible function has only recently been suggested. Two independent studies have found that 7SK RNA binds the CDK9/cyclin T complex (known as elongation factor P-TEFb). P-TEFb activates transcription by phosphorylating the C-terminal domain of RNA polymerase II. The record is from RNAcentral. Lineage: Eukaryota; Metazoa; Chordata; Mammalia; Rodentia; Cricetidae.
GGAUGUGAGGGCAAUCUGGCUGCGACAUCUGUCACCCCAUAGUCAUCAGGGUUGACUCUGUUGAUCAGGUUGGCUAGAUGGGUGUCCCCUUCCUCCCUCACUGCUCUAUGUGUGUCCCUCCAUGCCUAAGCUGAGCACUCUGUCAAUCGAAGAGGACGGCCUACCCUGAAUAGAGGAGGACCGGUCUCUGGUCAAGGGUACACACGGAACUGUGCUCCCCAGCUAGAGCCUACAAAUGAGCUCUCAAGAAAUAGACAACAUCUGAGCACUGCCCUGCAGACAGACCCUUCACCUGGAUCACUCAGUCUAAGCCUGAA